RNAcentral lists this ribosomal RNA (496 nucleotides) under uncultured bacterium. RNAcentral describes it as "partial 16S ribosomal RNA". It matches the Rfam family "Bacterial small subunit ribosomal RNA", at positions 28 to 507 of the family's 1533-position model. The record is from RNAcentral.
GAUGAACGCUGGCGGCGUGCCUAAUACAUGCAAGUCGAGCGAACGGACGAGAAGCUUGCUUCUCUGAUGUUAGCGGCGGACGGGUGAGUAACACGUGGAUAACCUACCUAUAAGACUGGGAUAACUUCGGGAAACCGGAGCUAAUACCGGAUGAUAUUUUGAACCGCAUGGUUCAAAAGUGAAAGACGGUCUUGCUGUCACUUAUAGAUGGAUCCGCGCUGCAUUAGCUAGUUGGUAAGGUAACGGCUUACCAAGGCAACGAUGCAUAGCCGACCUGAGAGGGUGAUCGGCCACACUGGAACUGAGACACGGUCCAGACUCCUACGGGAGGCAGCAGUAGGGAAUCUUCCACAAUGGGCGAAAGCCUGACGGAGCAACGCCGCGUGAGUGAUGAAGGUCUUCGGAUCGUAAAACUCUGUUAUUAGGGAAGAACAUAUGUGUAGUAACUGUGCACAUCUUGACGGUACCUAAUCAGAAAGCCACGGCUAACUACGUG